Long non-coding RNA from Manihot esculenta (cassava), 2814 nucleotides. RefSeq lists it as uncharacterized. The transcript has 2 exons. Lineage: Eukaryota; Viridiplantae; Streptophyta; Magnoliopsida; Malpighiales; Euphorbiaceae. The record is from RefSeq and is a predicted model, not a curated record.
AAAACCCCAUAAAUUCUCAUUUAUGAUUUUUGGGCCACAAACCCAAACAUAUAUAGUCCAUUUGAGCGGUAGCUAAAUUUCCCGCUUCCGUCAACGAACAGAACCUCCAUUUCCACUCUUUUUUUUCUUCUAAUAAAAGCCACAGGAAGGGAAAGCUCAGGAAAGGAGAGAGAGAGAGAAGGAAAAAAAAAAAAAGGUAAGAUCUAAUACAAUGUUCGUUUUGUGCAAUCAAUUUGCAUGAUCUAUAAUAGCUGAAAUUUUGUUUUUCGAUUUUGCUAUUUUGUUGCCGUCUUUUUGUUUUUUGGUUUCAUAGUGAAAGAUUGUGAUCAGUAUCAUUAUGCUUCUGCUCGUUGGACUUCACUUAAUAUUGCUGUUUCCUUAGGUUGCCGACAAGAUAUUCGUUAAAAUGCAUCUGUUAUAUUGCCAGUAACUAUCUGCAUAUCAUGUUAUAUUGUCAUUAACCAUCUGUAUGUCACGAUUUCCGUUAAAAUUUUCAACUACUUCAGGUGUUUUAGCUCUUUAGGAGAAAUUUAUAAUGCUGCAAGUCUGCAAUAUGAAUACUGAUAAGGCUUGGUUUUCCAGCAAACUAUUUGCACCUAAGCAAAAUUUGGAUUUGCUAAAAAACAGCAAAACAAAUCAAAGAGCACCCUAACCUACAAACUAUUUCAUGUUGGAUAGAGGUUCCAAUUCAAGAACCAGCUUGUAACGUUAACGAGUUUAAUCAAACUGGCAUCAGGCAAAUUUAGCCCAAUCCCUAUGACUCGGCCAUGUCAAGGAAGCUACACAUGGUAAGAACACGUUCCAUUCUCCAUAAGAAUCGGAAAUGUUAUCCCAUACUUGAGCUUCUCAAGCUCAUGGAAGUUCUGCUCCAUAGAAUUUGCAACUUCCCUUGUCAAUGAAUUGUGGAGAACCUUCCUAAACACUCUAUAAUCGCAAACAGUGCAAAUAACUCGUCACUCUUGGGGAACAUUAGGGACAACGCAAACUAGAAUUCUAAGGUGAAAUGCAACAGCACAGAGUUGAUUUCUUCACUGUAUUGAGACUAAGCAUAGUUUGUCUGCAUAGAAAAUCAUAGUAGGUGAUGGGAGUUUUUGUAACUCUUGGACAGGAGGAAGAAAUUGUCUAUACUUUCAGCAGCAUAACCUAUUGAGUUCAAAAUUGCAGGACAUCUGGAAAAUCAGCAUAGAGCAAAAGUGCAGGACACAAGUAGGCAGAAGAAUAUGACCUCAUGUCCAUAAACAUGUUGGAAGAGUAAACUGAAACAUUAAUAUCUCUUAGUUAAUUAUAUGUGUUUAAAGUUAAGUGAAUCUAAUUAAGUAUGGUUUAUGUACAUGCGCAUAUAUCUCAUUAGUAUGCAUGAAUGUGCUUAUGAAUAAGUUCAUAUACUAUAGAUUAGAGAGUCGUAUUAUUUAAUAUAUAUAUUGGUAUAUGUACAUGUAAUAAGCAAGAGAGUGGUAAGGGAAAGAAUUUCAUUGGAUAAUAAUACAACUAUACAAGUGCUUUUAUGUUUACUCUCUCGUUCAGGUAGCUUCUUUUGAGAAUCGUAGGCCCCGCUUUGUUCCACCAUUGUAGUGUCAGAUUAAAGCUAUUAAGUGGUAUUAGAGCAAAGCUAACAAAUCAAACUGUUACCAUUUACUGUACCUGCUGUCUAAAGUUCAUAAUCUUCCAGCCCAGCAAUUUCUGAGGGAAAAAAAAAAAAGAAUAUAUAUUAAACAUGUGAAAAAUUACAUGGUAAAAAGACUGCAAAUCUGAUUAUCCAAAUGGCAAGGAUAUUAGAAGAGAACAUUAGGUCAUACAAAUAACUUUUCACACAGAACCUCUUGAGGCAUACUAGAGAAUAUUGCAGCAGAAAUGAGGCAGGAGCUUUUGACCGGCUUAAAUUUAAAAUGAAUCAUUUGGAGCUUUAAAAAUUGUAAAUAGCUACUCAUCACCCCAUGUUGAUGGCCCAUCAAGGCAUCAAAUCCACUUCAACCGCUGCAGAUGAUUGGACUACUGCAUCUACUCCUCAUCUUUUAGUUUUCUUUUCCUUUGCAGAGGCAACAACCAAACCGCCCACAAAAUUUUUGUCUUCAGCUUUAUCUACCAUUUUAUUUUUGGCACCAAGUUCAGGACCUGCUCCUCCCUUGUUUUCCUCUCCACUGUGCUCUAUCAUCCCCCGGACUUGCAUAUCUUUUUUAAAAAUUUUCUCAUUUGUUUUCUUUCUUUUCUCAAGUCCUCUGUAUUGAUAUCAUUAUUAUUAUCUUGCUCCUAUGAUGCUUUUCGUGAUCAAUUGUUUGAGUAUGUUUUGAAAGUAUAUCUCCAGGAAAGGGAGCUAAACGGAGACUUCAUAUCGAAAGCUUCAGAUAUAUUUUGACGGAGAAGGUUGAUUUGGUCCAAAGUUUUUGCUGGCUCUUUAUCUAUAUGCAGGUAUAUUAUGGCGAUGGAGGGUUUUUGAAGUAACCCGAAACGGAUAUAUUACAGAAAUGAAUUAGAGGUUUGUUGCUAAGGUGUGCUUAUAUGAUUACAGUUUGUAGCUGAAUUGAACUUCUAGUAAGAUGCAGGACGACAGUAACAAGAGGAAAUUAUGCGAAGCUGUUUGAUAUUUCCUUUGAACGUGGUGAUUAGUAGUUGAUAUUAUAUAUCGAGUCUUUUCUUGGCAAUCAGUUUUGGGAUUAUAAUGCUUACAUUGAUAUUAUAGGGGAUGCAAGUUGCUAAGAGAAGUUCCAUUGGGUCUCUCAAGGUUAUAGAGUUAUAGUUGUAUUUUAGUGUCUGUACUAUAUGCCUUUUUAACACUUUUUUUUUUGUAUAUACUAUGCCUUAGACUUUAAGGGACUA